UACGUAGGGGGCUAGCGUUGUCCGGAAUCAUUGGGCGUAAAGAGCUUGUAGGCGGCCCGGUAAGUCCGCUGCGAAAGUCGGGGGCUCAACCCUCGAAUGCCGGUGAAUACUGUCGAGCUGGAGGUUUGGAGGGGGGACUGGAAUUCUUGGUGUAGCAGUGAAAUGCGUAGAUAUCAAGAGGAACACCAGUGGCGAAGGCGAGUCCCUGGACAACACCUGACACUGAGGCACGAAAGCUAGGGGAGCAAACAGG
RNAcentral lists this ribosomal RNA (253 nucleotides) under uncultured bacterium. Its description in RNAcentral is "partial 16S ribosomal RNA". It matches the Rfam family "Bacterial small subunit ribosomal RNA", at positions 524 to 776 of the family's 1533-position model. The record is from RNAcentral.